Molecule: ribosomal RNA, 615 nt
Filed under: Phanerochaete sordida
Lineage: Eukaryota; Fungi; Basidiomycota; Agaricomycetes; Polyporales; Phanerochaetaceae
Description: LSU rRNA
Rfam family: Eukaryotic large subunit ribosomal RNA
Source: RNAcentral
UAACAAGGAUUCCCCUAGUAACUGCGAGUGAACCGGGAAAAGCUCAAAUUUAAAAUCUGGCAGCCUUGGCUGUCCGAGUUGUAAUCUGGAGAAGCGUCUUCCGCGCUGGACCGUGUACAAGUCUCCUGGAACGGAGCGUCAUAGAGGGUGAGAAUCCCGUCUUUGACACGGACUACCAGUGCUCUGUGAUGCGCUCUCAAAGAGUCGAGUUGUUUGGGAAUGCAGCUCAAAAUGGGUGGUAAACUCCAUCUAAAGCUAAAUAUUGGCGAGAGACCGAUAGCGAACAAGUACCGUGAGGGAAAGAUGAAAAGCACUUUGGAAAGAGAGUUAAACAGUACGUGAAAUUGCUGAAAGGGAAACGCUUGAAGUCAGUCGCGUUUGCUAGGACUCAGCCUUGCCUCGGCUUGGUGCAUUUCCUAGUAGACGGGCCAGCAUCACUUUUGACUGCGGGAGAAAGGUUGGAGGAAUGUGGCACCUUCGGGUGUGUUAUAGCCUCUAGCUGUAUGCCGUGGUUGGGAGUGAGGAACUCAGCACGCCGCAAGGCGGGGCUUCGGCCACCUUCGUGCUUAGGAUGCUGGCGUAAUGGCUUUAAACGACCCGUCUUGAAAACACGGA